Molecule: ribosomal RNA, 709 nt
Filed under: uncultured bacterium
Lineage: Bacteria
Description: bacterial SSU rRNA
Rfam family: Bacterial small subunit ribosomal RNA
Source: RNAcentral
GGAUAACCUUGCGAAAGUAAGACUAAUACCCAAUGAUAUCUCUAGAAGGCAUCUGAAAGAGAUUAAAGAUUUAUCGGUGAUGGAUGGGGAUGCGUCUGAUUAGCUUGUUGGCGGGGUAACGGCCCACCAAGGCAACGAUCAGUAGGGGUUCUGAGAGGAAGGUCCCCCACAUUGGAACUGAGACACGGUCCAAACUCCUACGGGAGGCAGCAGUGAGGAAUAUUGGUCAAUGGACGAGAGUCUGAACCAGCCAAGUAGCGUGCAGGAAGACGGCCCUAUGGGUUGUAAACUGCUUUUAUAAGGGAAUAAAGUGAGUCUCGUGAGACUUUUUGCAUGUACCUUAUGAAUAAGGACCGGCUAAUUCCGUGCCAGCAGCCGCGGUAAUACGGAAGGUCCGGGCGUUAUCCGGAUUUAUUGGGUUUAAAGGGAGCGUAGGCCGGAGAUUAAGCGUGUUGUGAAAUGUAGAUGCUCAACAUCUGAACUGCAGCGCGAACUGGUUUCCUUGAGUACGCACAAAGUGGGCGGAAUUCGUGGUGUAGCGGUGAAAUGCUUAGAUAUCACGAAGAACUCCGACUGCGAAGGCAGCUCACUGGAGCGCAACUGACGCUGAAGCUCGAAAGUGCGGGUAUCGAACAGGAUUAGAUACCCUGGUAGUCCGCACGGUAAACGAUGGAUGCCCGCUGUUGGUCUGAAUAGGUCAGCGGCCAAG